Callithrix jacchus (white-tufted-ear marmoset) is the source of this 149-nucleotide unclassified non-coding RNA. It matches the Rfam family "Metazoan signal recognition particle RNA". Rfam says of the family: The signal recognition particle (SRP) is a universally conserved ribonucleoprotein. It is involved in the co-translational targeting of proteins to membranes. The record is from Ensembl. Lineage: Eukaryota; Metazoa; Chordata; Mammalia; Primates; Cebidae.
GCUGGGCAUGGUGGCGCGUGCCUGUAAUCCCAGCUACUCAGGAGGCUGAGGCGGGAGAAUUGCCUGAACCCAGGAGGUGGAGGUUGCAGUGAGCCGAGAUUGCGCCAUUGCACUCCAGCCUGGGUAACAAGAGCAAAACUCCGUCUCAA